RNAcentral lists this ribosomal RNA (488 nucleotides) under uncultured bacterium. RNAcentral describes it as "partial 16S ribosomal RNA". It matches the Rfam family "Bacterial small subunit ribosomal RNA", at positions 28 to 507 of the family's 1533-position model. The record is from RNAcentral.
GACGAACGCUGGCGGCGUGCUUAACACAUGCAAGUCGAACGAAAAUACCAAGCUUGCUUGGUUGAUUAGUGGCGGACGGGUGAGUAACACGUGAGUAACCUGCCCCUUACUUUCCUGGAUAACUGCUCGAAAGGGUAGCUAAUACGGGAUAUUCUGACCAGCCUGCAUGGGUUGGUUUGGAAAGGUUGUUUUUCUGGUAAGGGAUGGGCUCGCGGCCUAUCAGCUUGUUGGUGGGGUGAUGGCCUACCAAGGCUUUGACGGGUAGCCGGCCUGAGAGGGUGGACGGUCACACUGGGACUGAGAUACGGCCCAGACUCCUACGGGAGGCAGCAGUGGGGAAUAUUGCACAAUGGGCGCAAGCCUGAUGCAGCGACGCCGCGUGAGGGAUGAAGGCCUUCGGGUUGUAAACCUCUUUCGUCAGGGAACAAGGCACUGCUUUUUUGGUGGUGUUGAGGGUACCUGGAUAAGAAGCGCCGGCUAACUACGUG